Molecule: ribosomal RNA, 253 nt
Filed under: uncultured bacterium
Lineage: Bacteria
Description: partial 16S ribosomal RNA
Rfam family: Bacterial small subunit ribosomal RNA
Source: RNAcentral
UACGGAGGAUCCGAGCGUUAUCCGGAUUUAUUGGGCUUAAAGGGCGCGUAGGCGGCUUAUUAAGUCAGGGGUGAAAUUCCACAGCUCAACUGUGGAACUGCCAUUGAUACUGGUUGGCUUGAGUACAGAUGAGGUAGGCGGAAUUGACAGUGUAGCGGUGAAAUGCUUAGAUAUUGUCAAGAACACCGAUUGCGAAGGCAGCUUACUGAGCUGUAACUGACGCUGAGGCACGAAAGCGUGGGGAGCAAACAGG